Molecule: ribosomal RNA, 108 nt
Filed under: Sinocyclocheilus anshuiensis
Lineage: Eukaryota; Metazoa; Chordata; Actinopteri; Cypriniformes; Cyprinidae
Source: RNAcentral
UGUGGCAGUCCACGCUCAUGUCCUUGUCUGAUCUCGAAAGCUAAGCAGGGUUGGGCUUGGUUAGUACUUGGAUGGGAGACCGCCUGGGAAUACCAGGUGCUGUCAGCU